AUUGAACGCUGGCGGCAUGCCUUACACAUGCAAGUCGAACGGUAACAGGUCUUCGGAUGCUGACGAGUGGCGAACGGGUGAGUAAUACAUCGGAACGUGCCCAGACGUGGGGGAUAACGAGGCGAAAGCUUUGCUAAUACCGCAUACGAUCUAAGGAUGACAGCAGGGGACCGCAAGGCCUUGCGCGUUUGGAGCGGCCGAUGGCAGAUUAGGUAGUUGGUGGGAUAAAAGCUUACAAAGCCGACGAUCUGUAGCUGGUCUGAGAGGACGACCAACCACACUGGGACUGAGACACGGCCCAGACUCCUACGGGAGGCAGCAGUGGGGAAUUUUGGACAAUGGGCGAAAGCCUGAUCCAGCAAUGCCGCGUGCAGGAUGAAGGCCUUCGGGUUGUAAACUGCUUUUGUACGGAACGAAAAGGCUCUGGCUAAUACCUGGGGCACAUGACGGUACCGUAAGAAUAAGCACCGGCUAACUACGUG
RNAcentral lists this ribosomal RNA (482 nucleotides) under uncultured bacterium. RNAcentral's name for it is "partial 16S ribosomal RNA". It matches the Rfam family "Bacterial small subunit ribosomal RNA", at positions 30 to 507 of the family's 1533-position model. The record is from RNAcentral.